CUGGGAAGGACGCUCAGUGCUCCCACACACCCCGGGCUGGGAGACCCCCCCUCCCCAUUGGCUGCAGGUUUGCAGCUGGAUGAAGUCAGGCCAGGCCAGAGGGUGAGCAACCCCCGGCUCUGCAUGGAUUGCAAUGGGGAAAGCCAGCUGCAGUAAGAGCCCGGCGCAGUUGGAGCACGGCCUCUUCCUCCAGGCUCUCCUCCUCCUCCUCCUGCUCUGCUGCAGGCAUG
This 230-nucleotide long non-coding RNA is filed under the name Gallus gallus (chicken). The record is from RNAcentral. Lineage: Eukaryota; Metazoa; Chordata; Aves; Galliformes; Phasianidae.